GGGUGAGAUCAUACAGGAGCUUUUAGAGUUAGAUGGAGGUUGAAUGUCGAGUCGAGGAAGAGAUUGAAUUUGGCACUUCAAAUUCGACCCAUAGCAAGAGAAAAAACUCAAGAUGCAGAAACCCAGCUAGAAGAGCAUGUCAUGAGGAGUCUGGAAGCAUGCUGCAUGGGGGCCCACAAUGCAGGGCCUAACAAGGCCCGUAGGUUGGCCCACAGGCAUGCAAGGCCCGUAGCAGUGUAACCCAGGCACGGGCGCAUGGGCGUGCAGCCCAGGUGGGCAUGUGGCCCAGUGCAGGCAAGCGGGCACGCU
This 309-nucleotide long non-coding RNA is filed under the name Elaeis guineensis (African oil palm). RNAcentral describes it as "long non-coding RNA (EGUI_LNC001905)". Lineage: Eukaryota; Viridiplantae; Streptophyta; Magnoliopsida; Arecales; Arecaceae. The record is from RNAcentral.